This 438-nucleotide ribosomal RNA is filed under the name uncultured bacterium. RNAcentral describes it as "partial 16S ribosomal RNA". It matches the Rfam family "Bacterial small subunit ribosomal RNA", at positions 339 to 795 of the family's 1533-position model. The record is from RNAcentral.
CUACGGGUGGCUGCAGUGGGGAAUAUUGCACAAUGGGGGAAACCCUGAUGCAGCGAUGCCGCGUGAACGAAGAAGGCUUUCGAGUCGUAAAGUUCUGUUCUUAGGGAAGAAAAUGACGGUACCUAAGGAGAAAGCACCGGCUAAAUACGUGCCAGCAGCCGCGGUAAUACGUAUGGUGCAAGCGUUGUCCGGAAUUACUGGGCGUAAAGAGUUCGUAGGCGGUCAAAUAAGUCAGAAGUGAAAGGCUACGGCUCAACCGUAGUAAGCUUUUGAAACUGUUUGACUUGAGUACUGGAGAGGAAAGCGGAAUUCCUAGUGUAGCGGUGAAAUGCGUAAAUAUUAGGAGGAACACCAGUUGCGAAGGCGGCUUUCUGGACAGUAACUGACGCUGAGGAGCGAAAGCGUGGGGGGCAAACAGGAUUAGAUACCCCUGUAGUC